GCCGCAUGGCACAGCAGGGAAAACCACGGUGGUACAGGAUGGGCCCGCGUCUGAUUAGUUAGUUGGCAGGGUAACGGCCUACCAAGACAACGAUCAGUAGCCGGCUUGAGAGAGUGGACGGCCACAUUGGGACUGAGACACGGCCCAGACUCCUGCGGGAGGCAGCAGUGGGGAAUAUUGCACAAUGGGGGGAACCCUGAUGCGGCAAUGCCGCGUGGGUGAAGAAGCACUCCGGUGCGUAAAGCCCUGUCAGCAGGGAAGAAAAUGACAGUACCUGGACAAGAAGCCCCGGCUAACUACGUGCCAGCAGCCGCGGUAAUACGUAGGGGGCAAGCGUUAUCCGGAUUUACUGGGUGUAAAGGGAGCGCAGGCGGCGUGGCAAGUCAGAUGUGAAAACCCGGGGCCCAACCCCGGGAGUGCAUUUGAAACUGCCAUGCUGGAGUGCCGAAGAGGUAAGCGGAAUUCCUAGUGUAGCGGUGAAAUGCGUAGAUAUUAGGAGGAACACCAGUGGCGGAGGCGGCUUACUGGACGGUAACUGACGCUGAGGCUCGAAAGCGUGGGGAGCAAACAGGAUUAGAUACCCUGGUAGUCCACGCCGUAAACGAU
Molecule: ribosomal RNA, 606 nt
Filed under: uncultured bacterium
Lineage: Bacteria
Description: bacterial SSU rRNA
Rfam family: Bacterial small subunit ribosomal RNA
Source: RNAcentral